This 25-nucleotide non-coding RNA is filed under the name Mus musculus (house mouse). The record is from RNAcentral. Lineage: Eukaryota; Metazoa; Chordata; Mammalia; Rodentia; Muridae.
UACGUGCAUGAAGAUAGGUGACUCA